This is a non-coding RNA of Myotis lucifugus (little brown bat), 80 nucleotides long. Lineage: Eukaryota; Metazoa; Chordata; Mammalia; Chiroptera; Vespertilionidae. The record is from Rfam.
UAGGGGGAGGUUGGCGGCGUGUCUGGUACUUAGGUAAUGGCUGCCCACAGUACCAGCCAUGCCGCCUCCCUCCCCCUACA